AAAGCAUUUGCAAGGCACUUAAGGUUUGUUUUCUUGUUUUAGAAAUGAUUCUCUCCCUUCAUCUCAGUGUAAUGACUGAAGGUGUCACAGCCUUGAAAGUUAACUUUCCUUUUUAACAGACUAAACUAAUGCCACCAUGAAGCUGGCCUGAUUAGUGGAAUUCUUCACAUAGCGUCAGUCGCUCUCCAAGCUUGAAUAUGUGAUGUAUUUGUUCAUAUAUUCUUCAUUGUGUUGACUUAUAUAUGAAAUUAGCUAGUGUAGCUUCCACGAGACAUGCAUGCAUGCACAUAAGCACAUAAUUGAGAUAUAAGGGAACCAAGUUGCGCACCUUUUUUAUGGUCUCAGCAUUUUGUUUUGGAGUACCUGAAAUGUAAAAUGGUGCUUUUCAAGAUAUAUGCUUAAUUGCAGGCAGAGGUUAGAUUUUUUUUUUUUUUGGGUUUUAAAGCCUGGGUUAAAAAAUGGAGGUAGCCCUCUGCCUUUUUCAACCAAACGCUCCCACUCCUUUCUAAAAGAAGGGGGAAAAAUGUGAGAGAUGUCGAUCUUAAAUUCUGAUGCUGGGACCAGGAGAGCUAAGAUUAGAUUUCUCUAUGGCUAUUUUCCAUGAAAACUUAUGUUUCCUAAUAAGGUUGGGUUUUGACUUCUAAUCAAGGUUACUUGAUUUUGGACAAUUUUCAGGCAUCUGUUGUUAUCUGGCAUUUUCAUUUGUGAGGGACAGGACAAUUUUCUUUAAUUUAAAAAAAAAAAAAAUGGCUGCCCCUUGUUUAAUAUAUUUAUAUCUUCCCUUGAUUUUUAUUUAUU
RNAcentral lists this unclassified non-coding RNA (798 nucleotides) under Hevea brasiliensis (rubber tree). The record is from RNAcentral. Lineage: Eukaryota; Viridiplantae; Streptophyta; Magnoliopsida; Malpighiales; Euphorbiaceae.